GGGGGAUAUUGCACAAUGGGGGAAACCCUGAUGCAGCGAUGCCGCGUGGAGGAAGAAGGUUUUCGGAUUGUAAACUCCUGUCGUAAGGGACGAAGAAGUGACGGUACCUUACAAGAGAGCUCCGGCUAACUACGUGCCAGCAGCCGCGGUAAUACGUAGGGAGCGAGCGUUGUCCGGAAUUACUGGGUGUAAAGGGAGCGUAGGCGGGAUGGUAAGUCAGAUGUGAAAACUAUGGGCUCAACCCAUAGACUGCAUUUGAAACUGCUGUUCUUGAGUGAAGUAGAGGUAAGCGGAAUUCCUAGUGUAGCGGUGAAAUGCGUAGAUAUUAGGAGGAACAUCGGUGGCGAAGGCGGCUUACUGGGCUUUUACUGACGCUGAGGCUCGAAAGCGUGGGGAGCAAACAGGAUUAGAUACCCUGGUAGUCCACGCUGUAAACGAUGAUUACUAGGUGUGGGGGGACUGACCCCUUCCGUGCCGCAGUUAACACAAUAAGUAAUCCACCUGGGGAGUACGGCCGCAAGGCUGAAACUCAAAGGAAUUGACGGGGGCCCGCACAAGCAGUGGAGUAUGUGGUUUAAUUCGAAGCAACGCGAAGAACCUUACCAGGUCUUGACAUCGAGUGACGUACCUAGAGAUAGGUAUUUCCUUCGGGACACAAAGACAGGUGGUGCAUGGUUGUCGUCAGCUCGUGUCGUGAGAUGUUGGGUUAAGUCCCGCAACGAGCGCAACCCUUACCAUUAGUUGCUACGCAAGAGCACUCUAAUGGGACUGCCGUUGACAAAACGGAGGAAGGUGGGGAUGACGUCAAAUCAUCAUGCCCCUUAUGACCUGGGCUACACACGUAAUACAAUGGCCGUUAACAGAGGGAAGCAAAGCGGUGACGCAGAGCAAAACCCUAAAAACGGUCCCAGUUCGGACUGUAGGCUGCAACCCGCCUACACGAAGUUGGAAUUGCUAGUAAUCGCGGAUCAGCAUGCCGCGGUGAAUACGUUCCCG
This 996-nucleotide ribosomal RNA is filed under the name uncultured bacterium. RNAcentral's name for it is "bacterial SSU rRNA". It matches the Rfam family "Bacterial small subunit ribosomal RNA", at positions 356 to 1376 of the family's 1533-position model. The record is from RNAcentral.